Molecule: long non-coding RNA, 565 nt
Organism: Hyaena hyaena (striped hyena)
Lineage: Eukaryota; Metazoa; Chordata; Mammalia; Carnivora; Hyaenidae
Exons: 2
Source: RefSeq, a predicted model, not a curated record
GGACGCAGCCCGUCACCGCUCUGCGCCGCGGGGCGGGGGCUCGCAGGCCGGGACUCGCCGUCAGGUGGGCGGUUCCCCGAACUGCGAACCAGAAGGUGGGCCCCGAGACGGUGUCUGGGCUGCUUGACGACUGGGCAAAAGUUUCCCAAGGCAUUCAGAUUCCAAACUAGAGAUGGUAUCAAGCGAUGCCCGGAAAGCCUCCCUAGAUGAAGGGAUAGACGCUGGAGUUCAUAUCUGCCACGGGCCGCUGGACCAACCAAGGAACCUUCAGGAAUGCAACCCCACAAGUUUGCAAGGAAAGAUGUUUUUCAGAUUCCAACUCUCUUGAGAUGGAAAAGACUUAUGGAGGGACCAGACCAAGUGUUCCCCAAGCACCUGCUAAUAUAACGUCAUGGACUCCAAUCAACCACAAACACCUUCUCAGGAGACCCAUGUCCCCCAAUUUUGCCCUUAAAAAACCCUCACUUGCAAGCCAUUUGGGGAGGUAAGGACUUGUGAGCAUUAGCUCCUGGUUCUCCUGGGUGGUGCCAAACCAAUAAACAGCCCAUCUUUCUUCACUGCAAAA